CAGUCGCCGCGGUAAUACGAAGGGUGCAAGCGUUAAUCGGAAUUACUGGGCGUAAAGCGUGCGUAGGCGGUUUGUUAAGUCUGUUGUGAAAUCCCCGGGCUCAACCUGGGAAUGGCAAUGGAUACUGGCAAACUAGAGUGUGUCAGAGGAUGGCGGAAUUCCCGGUGUAGCGGUGAAAUGCGUAGAGAUCGGGAGGAACGUCAGUGGCGAAGGCGGCCAUCUGGGACAACACUGACGCUGAGGCACGAAAGCGUGGGGAGCAAACAGGAUUAGAUACCCCCGUAGUCCCUGUCUCUUAUAC
This 301-nucleotide ribosomal RNA is filed under the name uncultured bacterium. Its description in RNAcentral is "partial 16S ribosomal RNA". It matches the Rfam family "Bacterial small subunit ribosomal RNA", at positions 509 to 807 of the family's 1533-position model. The record is from RNAcentral.